Molecule: ribosomal RNA, 460 nt
Filed under: uncultured bacterium
Lineage: Bacteria
Description: partial 16S ribosomal RNA
Rfam family: Bacterial small subunit ribosomal RNA
Source: RNAcentral
CCUACGGGCGGCAGCAGUGAGGAAUAUUGGUCAAUGGACGAGAGUCUGAACCAGCCAAGUAGCGUGAAGGAUGACUGCCCUAUGGGUUGUAAACUUCUUUUAUAUGGGAAUAAAAUGUUACACGUGUGGGAUUUUGUAUGUACCAUAUGAAUAAGGAUCGGCUAACUCCGUGCCAGCAGCCGCGGUAAUACGGAGGAUCCGAGCGUUAUCCGGAUUUAUUGGGUUUAAAGGGAGCGUAGGUGGAUUGUUAAGUCAGUUGUGAAAGUUUGCGGCUCAACCGUAAAAUUGCAGUUGAAACUGGCAGUCUUGAGUACAGUAGAGGUGGGCGGAAUUCGUGGUGUAGCGGUGAAAUGCUUAGAUAUCACGAAGAACUCCGAUUGCGAAGGCAGUUCACUGGACUGCAACUGACACUGAGGCUCGAAAGUGUGGGUAUCAAACAGGAUUAGAUACCCGGGUAGUC